This 845-nucleotide ribosomal RNA is filed under the name Kocuria sp. PLB023. RNAcentral's name for it is "bacterial SSU rRNA". It matches the Rfam family "Bacterial small subunit ribosomal RNA", at positions 652 to 1490 of the family's 1533-position model. The record is from RNAcentral. Lineage: Bacteria; Bacillati; Actinomycetota; Actinomycetes; Micrococcales; Micrococcaceae.
UAGGGGAGACUGGAAUUCCUGGUGUAGCGGUGAAAUGCGCAGAUAUCAGGAGGAACACCGAUGGCGAAGGCAGGUCUCUGGGCUGUUACUGACGCUGAGGAGCGAAAGCAUGGGGAGCGAACAGGAUUAGAUACCCUGGUAGUCCAUGCCGUAAACGUUGGGCACUAGGUGUGGGGAACAUUCCACGUUUUCCGCGCCGUAGCUAACGCAUUAAGUGCCCCGCCUGGGGAGUACGGCCGCAAGGCUAAAACUCAAAGGAAUUGACGGGGGCCCGCACAAGCGGCGGAGCAUGCGGAUUAAUUCGAUGCAACGCGAAGAACCUUACCAAGGCUUGACAUACACCGGACCGGGCCAGAGAUGGUCUUUCCCCCUUGUGGGGCUGGUGUACAGGUGGUGCAUGGUUGUCGUCAGCUCGUGUCGUGAGAUGUUGGGUUAAGUCCCGCAACGAGCGCAACCCUCGUUCUAUGUUGCCAGCACGUGAUGGUGGGGACUCAUAGGAGACUGCCGGGGUCAACUCGGAGGAAGGUGAGGAUGACGUCAAAUCAUCAUGCCCCUUAUGUCUUGGGCUUCACGCAUGCUACAAUGGCCAGUACAAUGGGUUGCGAUGCCGCGAGGUGGAGCUAAUCCCAAAAAGCUGGUCUCAGUUCGGAUCGUGGUCUGCAACUCGACCACGUGAAGUCGGAGUCGCUAGUAAUCGCAGAUCAGCAACGCUGCGGUGAAUACGUUCCCGGGCCUUGUACACACCGCCCGUCAAGUCACGAAAGUUGGUAACACCCGAAGCCGGUGGCCUAACCCUUGUGGGGGGAGCCGUCGAAGGUGGGACUGGCGAUUGGGACUAAGUCGUA